RNAcentral lists this transfer RNA (87 nucleotides) under Martinezella rhizogenes. RNAcentral describes it as "Rhizobium rhizogenes tRNA-Leu". It matches the Rfam family "tRNA". From Rfam's summary of the family: Transfer RNA (tRNA) molecules are approximately 80 nucleotides in length. Their secondary structure includes four short double-helical elements and three loops (D, anti-codon, and T loops). Lineage: Bacteria; Pseudomonadati; Pseudomonadota; Alphaproteobacteria; Hyphomicrobiales; Rhizobiaceae. The record is from RNAcentral.
GCGGGAGUGAUGGAAUUGGUAGACAUACUGGAUUUAGGUUCCAGCGCUUUCAACGGCUUAGGAGUUCGAGUCUCCUCUCCCGCACCA